GUGAAUCAUCGAAUUUUUGAACGCAAAUUGCGCUUCCUAGCAUCCCGGGAAGUAUGCCUGUUUGAGGGUCAGUAUUAACAAAAAAUCGGUUUGGUUGCAAAUUGUGACGUUUCCGGAGUUUGGGCUAUCUUAACUUUUUUGGUUAAGGGGCUUAAAAUUGACCUUUUUUGCGCAUUUUUAGACGUACAUAAAUUUUUUUUUUAUUUGUUUAUUUUUAAUGGCAAAAAUCUAUUUGAAUG
RNAcentral lists this unclassified non-coding RNA (239 nucleotides) under Glomeraceae sp. RNAcentral's name for it is "partial contains 5.8S ribosomal RNA and internal transcribed spacer 2". The stretch from base 1 to 71 matches the Rfam family "5.8S ribosomal RNA", at positions 84 to 154 of the family's 154-position model. Lineage: Eukaryota; Fungi; Glomeromycota; Glomeromycetes; Glomerales; Glomeraceae. The record is from RNAcentral.